CUAAGCUGUAAUCAGCUUGAUGUGAACUUGAUCUCCAGCUACCCGUCAGCAACCGAUAACUCUGUUCAAUGGUGCUUGAGGAAGGAUCUUCCAUGUCCU
Camelina sativa (false flax) is the source of this 99-nucleotide non-coding RNA. NCBI's taxonomy places the organism in Eukaryota, Viridiplantae, Streptophyta, Magnoliopsida, Brassicales, Brassicaceae. The record is from RefSeq and is a predicted model, not a curated record.